UUUAAUGCGGCCCAUAGCACUCACUCACUGUACGGUCUCGAGUGCAGGGCAUAGAGCAGGUACAUGACUCAUUGAUGCAGCUUGUCCGGAGUGCAUUCUUAUCCACUCAGAGUAAUUGAAGCGAGCGACAAGUGCCCCCGCAGAGGUUACUUUACUCUCAAAUGCUCGGGUAGCUUGGGGCUGGAAGCAAAGCCGCACAUUCGACAAACUGUAGCUCUCGCAUCCGUCUGCAAAUAUAACCGUUUGAACUUCAUCAGAGACCUCACAUUCGUCGAUGAACAAUCUGGAAGGCAGUUCUCAGAUUUUAUAUUGCAUCCCGAAUAUUUCGUGGCUAGCGCCCCCAGCUGCUGAGACAAUGGUUCUGACAUCGCGAAGGAACAGCUCCGCAGCAAAGGUGAAGGCAGGAGAAUUCAAGCGCCAAAUCAGUCACCCUGUCAUUAUACCCGCAAGUGACGCGCAAUCCUGCGUUUUACCCUUCAACUCUGCUUUCACAUCAGCACAAGUAUCGAAAUCAACCUGUUCCACCCUGCCUAUGCAGAAGCAGAGGAACGCACCAAAUCAGCUGUUCGAAAUCAGAGCACGUUCAUCAACAAUGUCUGGACAUCCUCAUUACCACCAGCGUACAGCAUCGGCAAUAACCAGAGCAAGUACGACAGAUGAUGACAGUAGACCUUCCUCACCUGACAGUGCAAUUUGGACGGACAUGUCCAGCCCAGACAUCGCCUACACUCGUAGCAGGGACGAGAUGCAGACACCGACCAAUCUCGCACAGUCAGUCAGGGCACAGCAAAUCAGAGAGGUGUUUGCCGCGUCGCCAAUCAACUUUAGGACGCCGACUCCGUCCAGUGGGUUAACCCCACGUUCUUCUCGCACUUUAUCCAUGCAUCGUAGCAAUCCUAACAUCCACCGAAUCGACACUUCAAGUCUCUGUGAGACCCCUGUACCGCCAAAACGUCGCUCAUCAGUCAGCACGUCCCGCCUCAAUCGCGUAUCCAGCUGUCAUGGUCUGAAGCGAAACGCCAUUUCCACAAGCAAUAUGUCAUCGGAAGUUCACUUCCAAUGCUGGUUAGCUAGGCAACCCCACACCUGGUGCUAAACAUUUCUCUGUCAUAAACAAUGCGCAAAGCACGGAUUCAAGAUAACUAUCAUUUCGAGCAUCAUGGCAUGUCAUAUUCCCUUCAGUCCUCUAUUGUGAACGCCGUGUGGUCAACGUUGAGUUUAAGUUUGCUGAUAAAAUUUAUUUACUUCGCAUGUCGUUUUGUCAACAUUUGAGAUGAAAUUUACGAUCAGAGCUGGAACGUUUCACCGAUAAUUAACUUUAAUCAAUUUUGCAUUUCUUUGAAAUGUUUCUAAGAUCUUUGAAAUGAACUAUUUCACAACGACAAGACAAUCAAUAUUAAUCUAUUCCCUGCCAGCAGGGUCACAGUAA
Molecule: long non-coding RNA, 1429 nt
Organism: Sycon ciliatum
Lineage: Eukaryota; Metazoa; Porifera; Calcarea; Leucosolenida; Sycettidae
Exons: 2
Source: RefSeq, a predicted model, not a curated record